RNAcentral lists this transfer RNA (65 nucleotides) under Bottapotamon lingchuanense. RNAcentral describes it as "tRNA-Trp". The record is from RNAcentral. Lineage: Eukaryota; Metazoa; Arthropoda; Malacostraca; Decapoda; Potamidae.
AAAAUUUUAAGUUAAUUAAACUAAAAGCCUUCAAAGCUUAAAAUAAAACUAAUUUUUAAAUCUUA